This 27-nucleotide non-coding RNA is filed under the name Bombyx mori (domestic silkworm). Lineage: Eukaryota; Metazoa; Arthropoda; Insecta; Lepidoptera; Bombycidae. The record is from RNAcentral.
GAAACUCCGGUAAUUCGAUGUAAGGGA